GUGCUCGCUUCGGCAGCACAUAUACUAAAAUUGGAACGAUACAGAGAAGAUUAGCAUGGCCCCUGUGGAAGGACAAAAGCCAUAUGACCCAGCCAUCCCACCUCAGA
Psammomys obesus (fat sand rat) is the source of this 107-nucleotide small nuclear RNA. The record is from RefSeq and is a predicted model, not a curated record. NCBI's taxonomy places the organism in Eukaryota, Metazoa, Chordata, Mammalia, Rodentia, Muridae.